RNAcentral lists this ribosomal RNA (253 nucleotides) under uncultured prokaryote. Its description in RNAcentral is "partial 16S ribosomal RNA". It matches the Rfam family "Bacterial small subunit ribosomal RNA", at positions 524 to 776 of the family's 1533-position model. The record is from RNAcentral.
UACGUAGGGUGCGAGCGUUAAUCGGAAUUACUGGGCGUAAAGCGUGCGCAGGCGGUUUUGUAAGACAGGCGUGAAAUCCCCGGGCUCAACCUGGGAACUGCGCUUGUGACUGCAAGGCUAGAGUAUGGCAGAGGGGGGUGGAAUUCCACGUGUAGCAGUGAAAUGCGUAGAUAUCGAGAGGAACACCAGUGGCGAAGGCGAGUCCCUGGACAACUCCUGACACUAAGGCACGAAAGCUAGGGGAGCAAACGGG